Molecule: non-coding RNA, 21 nt
Filed under: Caenorhabditis elegans
Lineage: Eukaryota; Metazoa; Nematoda; Chromadorea; Rhabditida; Rhabditidae
Source: RNAcentral
UUUAAUAAAGUCUUGAAAAUA